GGAGCGGUGGUCUAGUGGCUAGGGCACUCUGUCUUGUAUCGUUAUCCGUAUACCUAGAACCUAUAGCCUCUUCAACGGCAGAGAGAUCGGUGGUUCGAGUCCACCCCGCUCCC
This is a non-coding RNA of Colletotrichum orbiculare MAFF 240422, 113 nucleotides long. NCBI's taxonomy places the organism in Eukaryota, Fungi, Ascomycota, Sordariomycetes, Glomerellales, Glomerellaceae. The record is from Rfam.